RNAcentral lists this ribosomal RNA (440 nucleotides) under uncultured bacterium. Its description in RNAcentral is "partial 16S ribosomal RNA". It matches the Rfam family "Bacterial small subunit ribosomal RNA", at positions 338 to 795 of the family's 1533-position model. The record is from RNAcentral.
CCUACGGGGGGCAGCAGUGGGGAAUAUUGCACAAUGGGGGAAACCCUGAUGCAGCGACGCCGCGUGAGUGAAGACGUAUUUCGGUAUGUAAAGCUCUAUCAGCAGGGAAGAAAAUGACGGUACCUGUUUAAGAAGCCCCGGCUAACUACGUGCCAGCAGCCGCGGUAAUACGUAGGGGGCAAGCGUUAUCCGGAUUUACUGGGUGUAAAGGGAGCGUAGACGGCAGCACAAGUCUGGAGUGAAAUGCCGGGGCUUAACCCCGGAACUGCUUUGGAAACUGUGCAGCUAGAGUGCAGGAGAGGUAAGUGGAAUUCCUAGUGUAGCGGUGAAAUGCGUAGAUAUUAGGAGGAACACCAGUGGCGAAGGCGGCUUACUGGACUGUAACUGACGUUGAGGCUCGAAAGCGUGGGGAGCAAACAGGAUUAGAUACCCCUGUAGUC